This 492-nucleotide ribosomal RNA is filed under the name uncultured bacterium. Its description in RNAcentral is "partial 16S ribosomal RNA". It matches the Rfam family "Bacterial small subunit ribosomal RNA", at positions 29 to 507 of the family's 1533-position model. The record is from RNAcentral.
AGUGAACGCUGGCGGUAGGCCUAACACAUGCAAGUCGAACGGCAGCACAGUAAGAGCUUGCCCUUACGGGUGGCGAGUGGCGGACGGGUGAGGAGUACAUCGGAAUCUACUUUUUCGUGGGGGAUAACGUAGGGAAACUUACGCUAAUACCGCAUACGACCUACGGGUGAAAGCAGGGGAUCUUCGGACCUUGCGCGAUUGAAUGAGCCGAUGUCGGAUUAGCUAGUUGGCGGGGUAAAGGCCCACCAAGGCGACGAUCCGUAGCUGGUCUGAGAGGAUGAUCAGCCACACUGGAACUGAGACACGGUCCAGACUCCUACGGGAGGCAGCAGUGGGGAAUAUUGGACAAUGGGCGCAAGCCUGAUCCAGCCAUACCGCGUGGGUGAAGAAGGCCUUCGGGUUGUAAAGCCCUUUUGUUGGGAAAGAAAAGCAGCAGGUUAAUACCCCGCUGUUCUGACGGUACCCAAAGAAUAAGCACCGGCUAACUUCGUG